Molecule: long non-coding RNA, 299 nt
Filed under: Amborella trichopoda
Lineage: Eukaryota; Viridiplantae; Streptophyta; Magnoliopsida; Amborellales; Amborellaceae
Description: long non-coding RNA (ATRI_LNC001653)
Source: RNAcentral
AGCACUCAACUCAAAAACAAUGAGAGAGAAAAAUAUAAGAGAUCAUGGAAUGUUGUUUUUUUAAGUUUAAACUAUGAGACAGAGUAAUUUGUUUGAGAUUAAUUCUUAAAAAGAAAGUUUAACAUUCAAAAAAAAAAAAUUGUUUGAGAUUAACAAACACAUCAUUAAACAAAGAGCAUCAGAUCCUAUCAAAACUCCGAAGUUUAGCAUGCUUGAAUAAGAGUAUACUAAGAAGUCUGUGUAUUACAAAAACCAAUUGAGACAAACAAUAAAUUUGGCCUUUUUUUAAAAAAAAAAAA